CUCUCUGGCUCUUCCUUUCUUGCAUCAUCACAGACACACACUCCUCUCUAUUUUAGUCACUUGGGUCCCCCUCCCCCACUGCUGAGAACUGUGGGUUCUGUGUAAAAUUUGAUUUUUCUUUUUCUAUUUCAAAAUCUUAUUGUGGACUGAUUCAAAAUUUGGUGGGUCUACUGCUUUUUCCCUAAAAGAAAAAUGUAUUAAACCAGGAGCUUAUGAGAAUUGGGUUGCAUGUUUGUUUCUUUGUCCUGUUUCGCCUUUUUCCUACUCUCGACAUUUUCUAAGUUUAGUCUACUUCUGCCAUGUAUAACUUAUCUCAAGAUAUUUUUCUUCUCACUUUGGUUUUAUCUGGUUUGUUUCUUCCAUUUGCAUGCUUGCCUUUUUUAUCAGACAUUUUAUUUUCUUCUUUAAUUCUCCUCUUUUGGUCUGAUAGCUGGAUCGAAUGGAAAUACCUGCAACCUUGUCUGGUUUUAUUUUUAUUAUUCUAACGAAGAAGAAGAAGAAGAAGAAGAAGAAGAAAAAGAAGAAGAUUUGGAACGACUCUGAGUUGAAGUUUCUAAUCCGUGACCGUGAAUGACCUCUGCACUUCGAGGUCAUCAGUCUGAGGAGCAUCAAAACGCUUCUUCUAUUAAUAAUGUUAAUGUUGUCAUGGCCUUAAUUGUUUCUGAUUUGAUUGUUCGGAUAUUUACCGCUGAGCUCGCAUCAGCUGCGACCAUCAUCGCAGUAAAUCCUUGCGACCGUCCAAUGAAACAUGGACACGCUCAGUAGCGACCUAAACCCAAACCAGAUCACCCGAAACGAUGCUGAUUGCUAUCCAAGCAUGAUGCAUAUAAAUUUGGUUGGUGCACAUGUAAAAGUGGAGGGUCGUCUAGGGAUCUUUGCCACGUGGACGGAUGACGUGGCAAGUCACGUAUUCCCAUGGCCGUACAAUAGGACACGGCAGUCAAGAACCAGACAAGCCAUCCGUUAAUGGCGUUGGUGAUAUGACACCUUAUGUGGUGGAGCAGGCUGGUUGUCAACUAUGUUGCAUGGCAUCUAUUACUACGUUUUGUAUUUCCAACCCAAAUCUUUCUGGAGUGUUUCCAGGCGGAAAACAUGACAUUGUUUCAUUUGUUUGUGCCCUUCUCUGUCUGUUGGUGCAUUAAUGGAUUUCAGAAGACUUAAGCUUAA
Long non-coding RNA from Nelumbo nucifera (sacred lotus), 1167 nucleotides. RefSeq lists it as uncharacterized. The record is from RefSeq and is a predicted model, not a curated record. NCBI's taxonomy places the organism in Eukaryota, Viridiplantae, Streptophyta, Magnoliopsida, Proteales, Nelumbonaceae.